RNAcentral lists this ribosomal RNA (222 nucleotides) under uncultured bacterium. RNAcentral describes it as "partial 16S ribosomal RNA". It matches the Rfam family "Bacterial small subunit ribosomal RNA", at positions 328 to 539 of the family's 1533-position model. The record is from RNAcentral.
ACGCUCGACACCUACGGGAGGAGCAGUAGGGAAUCUUCCACAAUGGGCGCAAGCCUGAUGGAGCAACACCGCGUGAGUGAAGAAGGGUUUCGGCUCGUAAAGCUCUGUUGUUGGAGAAGAACGUGCGUGAGAGUAACUGUUCACGCAGUGACGGUAUCCAACCAGAAAGUCACGGCUAACUACGUGCCCGCAGCCGCGGUAAUCUGAGCGGGCUGGCAAGGC